Ursus maritimus (polar bear) is the source of this 673-nucleotide long non-coding RNA. Lineage: Eukaryota; Metazoa; Chordata; Mammalia; Carnivora; Ursidae. The record is from Ensembl.
UCCCCCUGCCUGGUCUUUCACACCACCCUUGAGUUAAUAAUCUCUAAAAUUGGGCAGUGGGUAGCAACUCAGUCCCUGGCCCCACACCCAAUACCCGAGGAUCCCUCCUGAGCCUGUCCGGGGUGCCUGGAGUGAGUCCCACUCCCACUGGGUUUUCUUCUAUUUUAAACCAUAUUAAGAACUGUCAAGAAUUCCUGGAGUAAAAUUUUCCAUUGGAGUGCUUAGGAGGCAGAGCCAGGGAUUCGGGAGUGUCAUCACCCUAAGACACCACAGCUCUCUGUCGUGGUCUGAAAAUCCCAGCCAUUGUCUUCGUCCUACACCUGCUAACCAUGUGUCUCCCGAAAGUCACUACGAUGGCGACAGUGGAAGCCAAGUUGUUGAGAGAAAGCCCUGGGAGCUCUGACUGGCAGAUUAUAGGUUAAAAAAAAAUAGGUAAUCUCUACACCCAACGUGGGGCUCGAACUUACAACCCAGAGAUCAAGAGUCAUAUGCUCUACUGACUGAGCCCACCAGGCGCCCCUUUGAGAUCCUUUUGCUCUCUUUUAGUAUGACCUGUGGAUCAGAGUAAGGCGUGGACAAGAAAAUGGUUGCCUGUCCUGGAAUGUGGUAAUAUUGCGGAAUAAUGGAAAUGUAGGUGAAACACAAGAGAUAACCUAGUAAAACUGCAUCUAAA